GAUGAACGCUGGCGGCGUGCCUAACACAUGCAAGUCGAACGGAGCUGCUUUGAUGAAGUUUUCGGAUGGAUUUAAAACAGCUUAGUGGCGGACGGGUGAGUAACGCGUGGGUAACCUGCCUCACACUGGGGGAUAACAGUUAGAAAUAGCUGCUAAUACCGCAUAAGCGCACAGUUCCGCAUGGAACAGUGUGAAAAACUCCGGUGGUGUGAGAUGGACCCGCGUCUGAUUAGCCAGUUGGCGGGGUAACGGCCCACCAAAGCGACGAUCAGUAGCCGGCCUGAGAGGGUGAACGGCCACAUUGGGACUGAGACACGGCCCAAACUCCUACGGGAGGCAGCAGUGGGGAAUAUUGCACAAUGGGGGAAACCCUGAUGCAGCGACGCCGCGUGAGUGAAGAAGUAUUUCGGUAUGUAAAGCUCUAUCAGCAGGGAAGAAAGUGACG
This 445-nucleotide ribosomal RNA is filed under the name uncultured bacterium. RNAcentral's name for it is "bacterial SSU rRNA". It matches the Rfam family "Bacterial small subunit ribosomal RNA", at positions 28 to 456 of the family's 1533-position model. The record is from RNAcentral.